Molecule: long non-coding RNA, 3844 nt
Organism: Catharus ustulatus (Swainson's thrush)
Lineage: Eukaryota; Metazoa; Chordata; Aves; Passeriformes; Turdidae
Exons: 2
Source: RefSeq, a predicted model, not a curated record
AGGGAGGGGGUUUACGUUCUCCAUUUCAAAGAGAGGCCCCUGCUUUUCUUAGCAGACACCUGUCCUCCAAAGUAGGACAACUGUAAUGUUGAAGUAUUAUUUUUCAAACAUUGUUUGUAUUUUUAGAACAAAAGGGUUAUUCCAUUUUUCCAGAUUCCAUCACUGAGAAUGAAGACCAGCAAUGCUUAUCAAGUGAGUCAGGUUUUUUUCCUUUUAAAUGCAAAUUUGUUUCCAGGGGAAAAAAAUAUAAAACCAAUAAACGAACCAUAGAUGUUGCUUUUUUAAAGUUGUUGGUUUUUUGUUGUUUUUGUUGUUUUAGUUUUUGUUUUUUUGCUUAGAUGCUUCAAUGAAAAAAAAAUUCAUAGGAAACUAAAGGAAAAAUGUACCAAUGCUAACAGCCCUUCUUUUCAAACAAGUCAGAUUUUUUUGGUAAUAUAGUUUCUUUUUUUUUCCCCUUUUCCCUCCACGUCCAGAGAUGAAAAGGUGGUUGGAUUAUUUCCCAUGGCAGACAACAAAAAUUCCCCCAUUAGUUCCUAUUUUAUGGAAGAUGUGGUCUGAACCAGAAAUUGUUCAUGACAUCUGGUUUAUCUUCAAUUGUAAUCAUUUGUAUUCAAAGACUGUCCUCUGUCCCUUCCUUCCACAUGUAAAGGAUGAGACCAUGGGACAUCCAUGGGACAGCACUGAUUGCCAAAACCGGACUUGGUUUUCAAUUAAUCUAAAAUAGGCAAGUUACAAACAUGCUGUGAGACUCGUCAGUGAGCUUGGUGUGACGGGCAAAUGCUUGAGAAAUGUCUUAGUUCUAUGCCAUGAACAUUUAUUUGUGGUAAUAGUUUAUCAACUAAUUGCACAAACAGAAAAGUACUGCUCUUUGUAUAGUAACUCACCCAAAAAAUAAUUUGUCAUAUCAUCGACACUACUAUGAGAUAGAAAUUAGGAGUUUUGGGAGGACUCUGCCUUCCUCAGUGUGGAGGUUUGUUCUGACACCCCUUAAGAAAGAGAAGGCAAGGUGGAAUGGCCCAAGCAAUAUACUCCACAGAGUAUAUAUCUCUUUGCUUAUAUCUGGUGAUGUCCUCUUUGCUUAUAGCUGGUGAUGUUGAUGUUGCUGGUCUAUAAUGAUGUGCUUUGCCACAGAGAGAUUUGCAGGUCUCUACUGUGUCUUGUGUGUGUCUUAAGAACAGCGUGCUACUAGCAUGUAAUCCACCAGGCUGAUUUUUGGGAAAAUUCUGUUGUUUUCCGUUAGAAAACAUUGCAUGCCUGAUGCCAAUUGUUUGCUUCUCACAGUGUUUUAACCAAUCACACGCUGUUUACAUCAGUAAAAGAGUGGUCUCCAAAGUGCAACACUCAAAUCAAGAAGAAAAAAUUGCUUUAUUGUGCAAGCUUCUUGUGCACACCUUAUUGUGCCUCCUCCAUCUGUAGAUGCUGACAUCUGAUCAGCAGCAACUGGUUUUAUUUUUGCUUUGUUUUCGGCUGUGAAAAUGCUGAUGAGGGUCUGAUUAGGAUGCUGCACAUACCGUUGGCAACAUCGCUACUAAAUGAGCACUCCUCAUCACUUAUAAGCAGAGUCUCUCCUCAUGAUGAAAUUGUCAUUUCAAAGCAGGGAGCCUGGAGCCUGGAAAGUGAUGGGAGGUGUUGAAGGUCUAUCCAUCUAUCCGUCUGUCCCCAUAUGUCCACACUACAGCUGAAGUCACUGGGAUGGUGGGACUGGCUGAUGUUCAACAUCGUUGCUGACAUUCAGCUGCCAUGGCUUCGUUGUCUGAAUGCCUUCCCUCCACUGACACAUUCAACGGUGCUUCACUUGUGCUGCUGAGAGCCAUUCAACUGAUAUCAUUGCACUCCCGUGGGCACUUGUUCAGCACUGCUGAUACAGCCCCAGGUUUAUUCAUCAGGUCAGUUGUGUUCAAAAAAGGAUUAGCUGAAGAACCCUGCCAUUUACCACGCUGGUUUAAAUACAAGCAUCUGCAGAUUGAAAAAAAACACAAAAAACCCCAUAAAAGGUGUAAGAAGAAAGAAAAAAAAAAAAACAAAGAAGCAGAUAUUUACCUGUUUUGAAAUACAAUUACUAAGAAUUGGAAUCUGAAGUGUAUAGAGCUUGGUUCAGAGAGAGAGACCAUGACUAGCCUUAUUGUUUUGGGUUCUUUGAGUUCCAUUGAUCCUAAAGAAAAAUGCGCUAAUGAAUCUAUUGAAGCCUGCCAAACUCUGGAAGACAACUUAAGUGGUCUUGCUUAUCUGAGUCAUGGUAUUAAAGUGUGUUUAUACAGAAAACAGCAAAUGCGUGUCUUUAUUAAAGUGCUUACUUACACUACCCCAGCAGAAAUUGCUAAUGAUUGCUUAUUCAAAAAAUAUGCUUAACCUAUAAGCACAGUGGUAUAACUUCAAUAGCUUGGUUUUUGGGAAAGGAGUGCAUAGCAGAGAAAGUACAAAAUGAGCAAUUUCUGGUUAUGUGCAACGGGAACCUUUAAAGCUGAUUUUAUUGCUCUUUGAACAAUGAGGUCAGAAGAAAGUUUGCUUUGCUGGAAUAUGUUCAGGAUAUAUUUAUUUUGAUAUUUGUCUUCAUGCUUGAUCAAGGGCUUGAAGUGUGUACAGCCAGACCUCAAGACCACCAUAAACUUUUGCCAUGGCAUUAGUUAUAUAUCAAAAGCUAUUGGUUGCUAAAUGCUCUGCUCAAAAAAACCAGGUUUACCAUACAAAACUAUUUCCUAAUUUUUUUCCCCUUCUGCUUGAACUACUUGUCACCGUGCUCCUGCAGGAGGAGCUGCAGCAGAGUAAACUCAUCUGAUGGGGAGGAAUCACAUUUUGAGGCUCCAAGCAGCUGAGGUAAUUGGCAUGGGUGCCAAUUAGUGUCAAAUAUUGCCAUCAUUCUCUGAUAUGGACACCUGUCCGUUAGGAAUCAGCCCAAGACCUCCAAAGUAGUUUGACAGAAACCAAUGAAUAGGCAGCAGCUGACAACAGUCAUUAGUUACAUCCCAGCUAUCUGAACCAGCCUGGUAAAAGGACUCAUUAGGCCUGUUGGCAAUGAUGAAGCACAGUACUCAGACCAUGAAAACAUAUAUAUUAUAAAGUAGGUAACAACAGAUGUUCUGGUGAUGAUGUGAAGGAGCCCUGGAGGGCAAUAGUUGUCUCCAGGUGACAGCAAUGGGCUUGGACCCAGAAAAAUCUGCUCUCGCUGCUCUUUGUGCUAGGUUUCUUGGGAAAUUAAGAAAAGAGAAAGCAAUGCUAAACGACUAUCAAAUAACAGCACAACAGCAGCAAAGGGCGUUAGUGUAGUACAAUAAAGUUUUUUGCAUUAAAAAUUUCCCACCACUUUGUAUGCAUACGCAUGCAAACACAAAUAUACUACAUUUCAACAUUACUUAGCUAGAGUAAGUAUUGAUAUUAUUCUAGCAUCAGUGUCUGUAUUUCUGGAUGGUUUACAAGGCCAUGGUAGUAAAUACCAAAACCCUCAAGACUUCUGAGUCUGAUUUUGCCUGGUUUAGAUGUGUUGUGAAUCCAGAAAUCUCUAUUGGCAUCAGUAGGUUUUGCAAGAGUCAAUUUUUAUCAAAACAGGAUAAUUAGCAGUAAAACUUUUUCUGAAACCCCUACACAGCUUUAUGGGAGAUGUACAAUAUUUCAUUAACUCAACUGAGAGGAUGAAAGAAAAGGGAAGCUUUCAAAUUUGUGAACAUCUAAUAUGCCAGCCUCAUAAAAGAUACGAAGGUUCCUGCAAAUUUUGUCUCUUGCACUGAGGCCAUGAUGACCACAACAAAAGUAUUAUAAAACUGACAUAGAGAAUGUAAUAUUUUAUAGACCUAAAAUCAAGGUCUUCAUUUUUUGACACAACCUUAUACAUUCUUGCUUAAAAUAUUAA